This 381-nucleotide unclassified non-coding RNA is filed under the name uncultured Gemmatimonadaceae bacterium. RNAcentral's name for it is "contains 16S-23S intergenic spacer region". The record is from RNAcentral. Lineage: Bacteria; Pseudomonadati; Gemmatimonadota; Gemmatimonadia; Gemmatimonadales; Gemmatimonadaceae.
UCCGGCUUAUCACCGGCAGUUUCCGUAUAGUUCCCGGCAUUACCCGCUGGCAAAUAAGGAUGAGGGUUUCGCUCGUUGCGGGACUUAACCCAACAUCUCACGACACGAGCUGACGACAGCCAUGCAACACCUGUGUGUGGUCCAGCCGAACUGAAAGGUUGCAUCUCUGCGACCUGCGACCACCAUGUCAAGGGUUGGUAAGGUUUUUCGCGUAACAUCGAAUUAAACCGCAUGCUCCACCACUUGUGCGAGCCCCCGUCAAUUCCUUUGAGUUUUAAUCUUGCGACCGUACUCCCCAGGCGGAGUGCUUAAUGCGUUAACUACGAAACCGAAGAGUAAACUCCCCGAUAUCUAGCACUCAUCGUUUACAGCGUGGACUAC